Anas platyrhynchos (mallard) is the source of this 2547-nucleotide non-coding RNA. The record is from RefSeq and is a predicted model, not a curated record. NCBI's taxonomy places the organism in Eukaryota, Metazoa, Chordata, Aves, Anseriformes, Anatidae.
CUGGGGAGCUGCUUGUGCUUUGGAGCCCUGUCUGCAGCAGGAAAUCAGCUACUGAGUCCAAGUGUUGUCAGAACAGCUACAAAAAAAAAAAAAAAAAAAAAAAAAAAAAGAGAGAGAGAAGAAGAAACUUGCAAUCUGCACAGAAGAAGAAACACAAAGUCUUUGGUGUGAAGGGAAGAGGCGUAUCUCCCUGGAGAAUAUGAUAAUUUAUAAUGAAACAUUAUCUACAGACCCAUAUGUUACAUUUUCUAUUUAUGGCUAAUUUGCUUAAGCAUUUAUAACGUGCACCCCAAGGGAGGACAGUUUGUCUUUGGGCAGCUGGCUAGCCAGGGAGGGAGGAACUGAGGCGCUUCCACCCGAGCGUGCCGGCAGCGAGGAGCCAGCAGCACCCGCCGGGAGAGGGGCUGGAGGGGCUCCGGGGGGCUGCUCGUGCGCUGUGAUGCUUCCACCUGCAAGGAUCCUGUGGGGCUGCACCAGGCUGUGUCCAGCACGGGCUGGGGCGAGCCAACCCCCAGUAUGUGGGGGUCAGCCCCCACGUGCCAUUCCUGGUGCAAUUCCCACCCGCGGGGAUGAGCCCGAGCCAUGGGGCUUGGGGCCAGCUCCUCCCCUGCUUUGUUUCAUCUCCUUCUGCCCCGCCAAGCACUGCAGGCAGGCUGGGGAACGGGGGCCACGUCCCCAGCAAGCCUUUGGUGCCAUGGGUUGGGGCCGGCACCGCUGCUGAGUGAGAAAGGCAGGAGAGCGUGCGUGAAAAUGAUGAAUGCUCCUUUCAGCCUUGCUACGAGGCUGAGGAGAUCCUGGGAUAUAAACAUGACAGUUUAUGCACCGGGUAUGACGGCUCUGCUCUUCCCGGAUGAUAUUCAGCCACAAACAUUUCAAUCACAGCCUCAGCGAGGGGUGGAUAACCCAGAUGACUCUCUGAAUCACUCUCUGCAUCGCUAAAAUAUUUUCAGAUCUGAUCCCAGACGUCUCUACAAGAUGUUCACAAAUCAACCCAGGAAUACUUCUCCUUUCUUCUGAUGCUCAAAUUUUGCCCUUGAGUUCCCUGAGAAAAAAAAAAUAAAAAAAUUCAAGAUUUCAAGAUUUCCUCCUGCUAUUUGACCCACAUGUCUGCUCACGAGCACGGCGAGGCGCUGAGGUCAGCCCUGAGCAGCCUCGGCUCAGUGCCGCGCAGCCCCUGGGCCCACGCCAGAGCCGCUCAUCACUUCUUUUCAAAAAUGGCAUCAAAUGUUCCUCCUCGGCAAGGCAAAAGGAAACAGACUACAGAGGAGAAGAGGCUGCAGUGCAGAGGAAGCAAAUGACCACAGAGCUCUCUGGAGGCAGCUCUGGAUGUGGAGCCAGGCUCACCCCAGCCCUGGUGCAUUGAGCUAGAAGAGCGCCUUGAAACACCGGUGGUUUCUUGGUGGCACUGCCAUGCUCUCCUACCCAUUAGCGUGGUAUUAAAAGCAAUAAUAACACUGAAUAAAAUGUUUAUUACUUUCCAAACCCUCCAUCCUCAGGGGCCAGCACAGGUUUUGUAGACAGACUGAAGUCGACUCAAGCCAAACUCACCUCCUGUCAUUGCCCUGCCUUGGAGAGAUCACUUCAUUUUUCUCAGUGAAGAGGGCUGCUGUAAAUUAAGGCUUGUCUGGACAACAGCAAACUGUUUGCUGGAAUUAUAGGAUUUUACUUCACACUUACGUGAUCACUGUUUUCCUGAAGCCAGGCUCCCGGGUGCUCUGUAACUGCAGGUCUGCAGAGGUGGCUCACUCGUAAUUCUGUAAUUUGUUCUGUGCUCGUCUGGUACAAUGGCUAAUCACACACGUCUGGAGGAAGAUCGUUAAUUUAUCGGUUAUCACUGUUAUCAGUCAUAAAUUCAAUCACACUUUGCUUUUAGGGAAUAGAAGAUUACAAGUCUGAAUUUCUGCUUCGAGGUGAUGGUGUGUGUGUACAUGUGCGUGAUUAGGCUGAAUGGAGCUCUCUGAUGAAAGGAGCAGGCACAGCUCUGGAGCAAUACCUAAACACACGUAUCUGGCAGUGAUGUGUGCACUUAAUAAAUGAAGUAACACAUCGAAUCAUGCUUUUCUCCAGACGGCUACGUCUCUGCUCAGCUAACCAACAGCAGACCAGAAGCUCACCUCCCUAGAAUAAUUAGAUGACAAUUUUAUGGAUACUUCUUACCCCUGUAGCAUCAAUUCAGCUCUCAGCUUUGCCCAGAUUAUUGAUUUAAAGCAUAUUAAGGAUCAAUAACCGGUCUAAUUGCUCGGCUGCCUCUCAGCAGCUCUCUGCACUCGCCCCAGCCGAGAUGCUCUGCAGCAGCAGCAGCAGCAGCUCGGUGCUCCCAUCCUCGCCCCCCGCGAGCUGUGCAGCUGUCUGAUGUGUGAGUGGGGAUCCAGCAUCUCCCUGAUACAAUAUCAGCCUCCUGGAGCUGAUUUCAAUGGAGGAAAUCAAAGCGAACCAUUAAAACUCAUUACCAUUUUUAUCUCCAAUGCUGCAGAUUCUAUUUGCUAUAAUUUUAUUUGAAUCGGAAUGCAUAUUGUAUUUACAACAUCCUCUCUUUUACCUCCUCAU